CGCCUACGGGACGCAGCAGUGGGGAAUAUUGGGCAAUGGGCGCAAGCCUGACCCAGCAACGCCGCGUGAAGGAAGAAGGCUUUCGGGUUGUAAACUUCUUUUAUUGAGGACGAAACAAAUGACGGUACUCAAUGAAUAAGCCACGGCUAACUACGUGCCAGCAGCCGCGGUAAUACGUAGGUGGCAAGCGUUAUCCGGAUUUACUGGGUGUAAAGGGCGUGUAGGCGGGAAAGCAAGUCAGAUGUGAAAACCACGGGCUCAACCUGUGGCCUGCAUCUGAAACUGUUUUUCUUGAGUACUGGAGG
RNAcentral lists this ribosomal RNA (305 nucleotides) under uncultured bacterium. RNAcentral describes it as "bacterial SSU rRNA". It matches the Rfam family "Bacterial small subunit ribosomal RNA", at positions 336 to 655 of the family's 1533-position model. The record is from RNAcentral.